RNAcentral lists this ribosomal RNA (497 nucleotides) under uncultured bacterium. Its description in RNAcentral is "partial 16S ribosomal RNA". It matches the Rfam family "Bacterial small subunit ribosomal RNA", at positions 28 to 507 of the family's 1533-position model. The record is from RNAcentral.
GAUGAACGCUGGCGGCGUGCCUAAUACAUGCAAGUCGAGCGAACGGACGAGAAGCUUGCUUCUCUGAUGUUAGCGGCGGACGGGUGAGUAACACGUGGAUAACCUACCUAUAAGACUGGGAUAACUUCGGGAAACCGUAGCUAAUACCGGAUAAUAUUUUGAACCGCAUGGUUCAAAAGUGAAAGACGGUCUUGCUGUCACUUAUAGAUGGAUCCGCGCUGCAUUAGCUAGUUGGUAAGGUAACGGCUUACCAAGGCAACGAUGCAUAGCCGACCUGAGAGGGUGAUCGGCCACACUGGAACUGAGACACGGUCCAGACUCCUACGGGAGGCAGCAGUAGGGAAUCUUCCGCAAAGGGCGAAAGCCUGACGGAGCAACGCCGCGUGAGUGAUGAAGGUCUUCGGAUCGCAAAACUCUGUUAUUAGGGAAGAACAUAUGUGUAAGUAACUGUGCACAUCUUGACGGUACCUAAUCAGAAAGCCACGGCUAACUACGUG